AAAGGUGAUGUACAGCUGUAUGUCAUCUGCAUAACAAUGAUAUGAGACAUCAUCAAAAGAGCUCAAGAUGUGUCCAAGUGGGAGAAAAUACAGUGCAAAUA
Molecule: long non-coding RNA, 101 nt
Organism: Thalassophryne amazonica
Lineage: Eukaryota; Metazoa; Chordata; Actinopteri; Batrachoidiformes; Batrachoididae
Exons: 3
Source: RefSeq, a predicted model, not a curated record